GAUCAUGGCUCAGAGUGAACGCUGGCGGCAGGCCUAAUACAUGCAAGUCGAACGGCAGCACAGCAGAGCUUGCUCUGUGGGUGGCGAGUGGCGGACGGGUGAGGAAUACAUGGGAAUCUGCCCAGUCGUGGGGGAUAACGUAGGGAAACUUACGCUAAUACCGCAUGCGCCCUUCGGGGGAAAGCCGGGGACCUUCGGGCCUGGCGCGAUUGGAUGAGCCCAUGUCGGAUUAGCUAGUUGGCGGGGUAAUGGCCCACCAAGGCGACGAUCCGUAGCUGGUCUGAGAGGAUGAUCAGCCACACUGGAACUGAGACACGGUCCAGACUCCUACGGGAGGCAGCAGUAGGGAAUAUUGGACAAUGGGCGCAAGCCUGAUCCAGCCAUGCCGCGUGAGUGAAGAAGGCCCUCGGGUUGUAAAGCUCUUUUGUCUGGAAAGAAAAGCGCCGGGUUAAUACCCUGGUGUCCUGACGGUACCGGAAGAAUAAGCACCGGCUAACUUCGUG
Molecule: ribosomal RNA, 503 nt
Filed under: uncultured bacterium
Lineage: Bacteria
Description: bacterial SSU rRNA
Rfam family: Bacterial small subunit ribosomal RNA
Source: RNAcentral